CAUGGCGGGGCUGCCUGUUCUGGAUUUGAACGUGACUGAACGGGCACGGCUGAACUGACUUCACGGGCUGUUCGAAGUGGUGCUGAGUUGGACUAAAAACAUAAGCUGAGGACUCGGCUUCGAGCAAGGCAAAGGACAGCUGCUGCUUCCGUGGAGAUGGGGGCGAUCUUGCGGACGAAGGAGGAGGCGAUCGCGGCUGGCUUCUUCGGCGAAGUCGCUGGAGUUGAUGCAACAGUCAACAAACCAACUGAGGGGAGGCGAGAUGGCGGUCAAAGACGGGGCAGAGAGACG
RNAcentral lists this long non-coding RNA (291 nucleotides) under Eucalyptus grandis. RNAcentral's name for it is "long non-coding RNA (EGRA_LNC003087)". Lineage: Eukaryota; Viridiplantae; Streptophyta; Magnoliopsida; Myrtales; Myrtaceae. The record is from RNAcentral.